UUUAUUAGGGAAGAAUAAAUGAUGGAAAAAUCAUUCUGACGGUACCUAAUGAAUAAGCCCCGGCUAACUAUGUGCCAGCAGCCGCGGUAAUACAUAGGGGGCAAGCGUUAUCCGGAAUUAUUGGGCGUAAAGGGUGCGUAGGCGGUUAAAUAAGUUUAUGGUCUAAGUGCAAUGCUUAACAUUGUGAUGCUAUAAAAACUGUUUAACUAGAGUAAGAUAGAGGCAAGUGGAAUUCCAUGUGUAGCGGUAAAAUGCGUAAAUAUAUGGAGGAACACCAGUAGCGAAGGCGGCUUGCUGGGUCUUAACUGACGCUGAGGCACGAAAGCGUGGGGAGCAAACAGGAUUAGAUACCCUGGUAGUCCACGCCGUAAACGAUGAGUACUAAAUGUUGGGUAAAACCAGUGUUGAAGUUAACACAUUAAGUACUCCGCCUGAGUAGUACGUACGCAAGUAUGAAACUUAAAGGAAUUGACGGGACUCCGCACAAGCGGUGGAUCAUGUUGUUUAAUUCGAAGGUACCCGAAAAACCUCACCAGGUCUUGACAUGCUUCUGCAAAGCUGUAGAAACACAGUGGAGGUUAUCAGUUGCACAGGUGGUGCAUGGUUGUCGUCAGCUCGUGUCGUGAGAUGUUGGGUUAAGUCCCGCAACGAGCGCAACCCUUAUUGUUAGUUGCCAGCACGUAAUGGUGGGGACUUUAGCAAGACUGCCAGUGAUAAAUUGGAGGAAGGUGGGGACGACGUCAA
Molecule: ribosomal RNA, 744 nt
Filed under: Ribes rubrum phytoplasma
Lineage: Bacteria; Bacillati; Mycoplasmatota; Mollicutes; Acholeplasmatales; Acholeplasmataceae
Description: bacterial SSU rRNA
Rfam family: Bacterial small subunit ribosomal RNA
Source: RNAcentral